UACGAGGGGGGCAAGCGUUGUUCGGAAUUAUUGGGCGUAAAGGGCGCGUAGGCGGUCUGAUAAGUCAUCUGUGAAAUCUAUGGGCUCAACCCAUAGUCUGCAGGCGAAACUGUCGGGCUUGAGUAUGGGAGAGGUGAGUGGAAUUUCCGGUGUAGCGGUGAAAUGCGUAGAUAUCGGAAGGAACGCCUGUGGCGAAAGCGGCUCACUGGACCAUUACUGACGCUGAUGCACGAAAGCUAGGGGAGCAAACAGG
RNAcentral lists this ribosomal RNA (253 nucleotides) under uncultured bacterium. RNAcentral's name for it is "partial 16S ribosomal RNA". It matches the Rfam family "Bacterial small subunit ribosomal RNA", at positions 524 to 776 of the family's 1533-position model. The record is from RNAcentral.